AAAAGUCGUAACAAGGUCUCCGUUGGUGAACCAGUGGAGGGAUCAUU
RNAcentral lists this ribosomal RNA (47 nucleotides) under Colletotrichum fructicola. Its description in RNAcentral is "partial 18S ribosomal RNA". The record is from RNAcentral. Lineage: Eukaryota; Fungi; Ascomycota; Sordariomycetes; Glomerellales; Glomerellaceae.